RNAcentral lists this long non-coding RNA (700 nucleotides) under Capra hircus (goat). RNAcentral describes it as "lncRNA (ENSCHIG00010022668.1)". Lineage: Eukaryota; Metazoa; Chordata; Mammalia; Artiodactyla; Bovidae. The record is from RNAcentral.
GGGCAGUGGCAGUCUGACUCCCUCACAGCGCCCUCUGCCACCACAGCCUCUCACAGGUAUCAGAGGACACCCGGCUCUGGUAUAAAGGGGAGGGACAUGGACACAAUGACACUCCAUUAAACACCUGGCACUACCGUCACCUCCCCUUCCUCCCCGAAAGACACAGGCUAAGCCUCCAGGGGAUAAAAAAGGGUCACAGAAGCGUGGCCUGCUGGAGAGAAGGGAGAAAAGGAGAACUAGGUCACGCUUGCUGCGCCUGGUUGCCUGGAAUUGUUCUCCUAGUUGUGCUCAGGGAAAAGGACAACUUGGCUUCAGUCUACUGGAAUGCACAUCAGCUGGGAGUGUCUGCUUGACCCUAAAAGGUUAUGUCAGAAACUUUCAAGUUGUGGAACGUUGCUUGCUCUGUAGAAACACCAGAAGAUCUCACACCUGAAAGGACAACAUUCCAGACAAAAAUGUUCCAUAUCCUGGCCUUUAGAAACGGGAACACUGAUUUGCUGCAGAUGUUAAUGUGACUGUAGGAACACAGAUGGUUCUCAUGCUGCUGGACACUUCUGAUUUUAUUUGGUCAAAGUUAUAACCUGUGUGUUUCCUUAUGAUAUUCUCUUGGGAAAGCUCUGGUGAUGGGUUCCUUUAGUGCUCCAGCUGGAGUGAUCCUUCAAUUGCACUCAUUUGUGGCCACCUAGACUGUCAAAAAAAA